UACGUAGGGGGCAAGCGUUGUCCGGAUUUAUUGGACGUAAAGAGCGUGUAGGCGGCCAGACAAGUCUGCUGUGAAAACUCGAGGCUCAACCUCGAGCUGUCGGUGGAAACUGUCUGGCUAGAGUCCGGAAGAGGAGAGUGGAAUUCCUGGUGUAGCGGUGAAAUGCGCAGAUAUCAGGAAGAACACCUAUGGCGAAGGCAGCUCUCUGGGACGGUACUGACGCUGAGACGCGAAAGCGUGGGGAGCGAACAGG
RNAcentral lists this ribosomal RNA (253 nucleotides) under uncultured bacterium. RNAcentral's name for it is "partial 16S ribosomal RNA". It matches the Rfam family "Bacterial small subunit ribosomal RNA", at positions 524 to 776 of the family's 1533-position model. The record is from RNAcentral.